Non-coding RNA from Glycine soja, 117 nucleotides. The record is from Rfam. Lineage: Eukaryota; Viridiplantae; Streptophyta; Magnoliopsida; Fabales; Fabaceae.
UUCUUAUUGAAUUAUGACAACCAUGUGUUCUCUAAUUGACCAAUGACAAUAACAAUAAAUCUCAUCUUCCAUAAAGUUGACAUCCAAUCAGAUCAUGACAUGUGACAAUCAUCAUCC